UCUUUAAUUCUGCUGCCUCUG
RNAcentral lists this non-coding RNA (21 nucleotides) under Arabidopsis thaliana (thale cress). The record is from RNAcentral. Lineage: Eukaryota; Viridiplantae; Streptophyta; Magnoliopsida; Brassicales; Brassicaceae.